GAUGAACGCUGGCGGCGUGCCUAAUACAUGCAAGUCGAACGAAGCUCUUGCGUUUGAGUUUUCGGACAAGAACGUAAGAUGACUUAGUGGCGGACGGGUGAGUAAUGCGUGAGUAACCUGCCCUUCAGAAGGGGACAACAGUUGGAAACGACUGCUAAUACCGUAUAAUGUACAAAGACCGCAUGGUUUUUGUACCAAAGAUUUAUCGCUGAAGGAUGGACUCGCGUCUGAUUAGUUAGUUGGUGAGGUAACGGCUCACCAAGACUGCGAUCAGUAGCCGGACUGAGAGGUCGAACGGCCACAUUGGGACUGAGAUACGGCCCAG
RNAcentral lists this ribosomal RNA (325 nucleotides) under uncultured bacterium. Its description in RNAcentral is "bacterial SSU rRNA". It matches the Rfam family "Bacterial small subunit ribosomal RNA", at positions 28 to 334 of the family's 1533-position model. The record is from RNAcentral.